CAGGGAGACAACAAAAUGUUAAAUAUUAAUUUUGUCACCUUAGGUCGAUCGGUAUCUCAGGUUCUUAAUUACUUUAAGAAUUUCAUUUCCUAAGUUUUUUCUAGGUCACACCCAUUACUUUCCCUGGGCCAUUAGCUCAGGUGGUUAGAGCGCACCCCUGAUAAGGGUGAGGUCCCUGGUUCAAGUCCAGGAUGGCCCAUAUCUCUAUGUUGGGGGUAUAGCUCAGUUGGUAGAGCGCCUGCUUUGCAAGCAGGAUGUCAGCGGUUCGAGUCCGCUUACCUCCACUGAUUACCACCUCUUCCAUAAAUUUAAAGAAGGGAAUAGUUUUGAGCGUUGAUUUACUUCUGAACGAAUCUAGCUUCCUAAUAAAUACAUUAAGAUGCUGGACUCAUUGAAUUUUAUUCAUUGUUUUCAGAGAACCUUGACAACUGCAUAGAUUAUUUUUAAAGACAAUAAGCAUCUUUAAUGAUGCAGAUUUAUUAUUUGUGCUAAUGCAUUAAUAACAAUUCUAUUGAGCUGAUGCUUCAAUUUUUGAAGUUAUU
Molecule: transfer RNA, 542 nt
Filed under: uncultured cyanobacterium
Lineage: Bacteria; Bacillati; Cyanobacteriota
Description: partial 16S-23S ribosomal RNA intergenic spacer
Rfam family: tRNA (bases 212-284)
Source: RNAcentral